AGUGAACGCUGGCGGUAGGCCUAACACAUGCAAGUCGAACGGCAGCACAGAGGAGCUUGCUCCUUGGGUGGCGAGUGGCGGACGGGUGAGGAAUACAUCGGAAUCUACUCUGUCGUGGGGGAUAACGUAGGGAAACUUACGCUAAUACCGCAUACGACCUACGGAUGAAAGCAGGGGAGCUUCGGACCUUGCGCGAUUGAAUGAGCCGAUGUCGGAUUAGCUAGUUGGCGGGGUAAAGGCCCACCAAGGCGACGAUCCGUAGCUGGUCUGAGAGGAUGAUCGGCCACACUGGAACUGAGACACGGUCCAGACUCCUACGGGAGGCAGCAGUGGGGAAUAUUGGACAAUGGGCGCAAGCCUGAUCCAGCCAUACCGCGUGGGUGAAGAAGGCCUUCGGGUUGUAAAGCCCUUUUGUUGGGAAAGAAAUCCAUCUGGUUAAUACCCGGGUGGGAUGACGGUACCCAAAGAAUAAGCACCGGCUAACUUCGUGCCAGCCGCCGCCGUAA
This 506-nucleotide ribosomal RNA is filed under the name uncultured bacterium. RNAcentral's name for it is "partial 16S ribosomal RNA". It matches the Rfam family "Bacterial small subunit ribosomal RNA", at positions 29 to 523 of the family's 1533-position model. The record is from RNAcentral.